This 6750-nucleotide long non-coding RNA is filed under the name Homo sapiens (human). RNAcentral's name for it is "non-protein coding lnc-LGMN-2:2". The stretch from base 2387 to 2452 matches the Rfam family "mir-1255 microRNA precursor family". Lineage: Eukaryota; Metazoa; Chordata; Mammalia; Primates; Hominidae. The record is from RNAcentral.
AUUCGGCAGCGGCUCGCGGCCCGGAGCCCCCUGGGGCACACGGAGGCCCGGGCGGCCGCGCCCCCGGGGCCGGGCCUCGGGGCGGGGGGUGCUGGGGCCAAGGCGCCGCACGGGCGCCCAACCUCGGGGUGCCGCCUCCACAGGCUGUGGCUGGGGCUGGGGCGCGGGAGGCCCGCGGGGCUUCGGAGAGGGAAACUUAGAGAAAAGUCUUCCACUUGGCUUGGGGCCGCAGGGGAAGGAAGACGCCCUCCGCCUGUGCCGGCGCCGACCGCGGGCCGGCAGGUGGGGAGGCCCAGAGCUGGCGGGGAGUUCGUCCCACUCGGAGCCACAGCCUUGCCCGAGGGAGCCUCGAAAUCGUUCAAGGGCAACCUCAGACCAGAGCCAGGGCGCCUCCUCCACAUUCCUGACAGAUGUGCACGCCGCCUCCUCUUGGAUGCUUCCCGUGACAAGGAGCUCACUCCUCAACAAGGCGGACUGCUCGUCCAUCAAGCCUGGCAUCUAAUUCACCUGUGCCGGGUACCGCAGAUGGAGAACGCCAGACAGCUGACACAAAUGCAAGACCCACAGCAACCCCAGAGGCUGAAUUAUUUCCUCCUGGAUGGGAAUGAGUCAUCUCCUCCGCCGUCUCCCUCAACAGGGCUGUAACAUGUUUCCAAGGGUUUCAAAGCCCUGUUUGAAAACAUGGGCUUUGCGGACAGACCCAUGUUCAACUUCAACCCCAGCGGCUUCUGGGUGGGUGGCCUUGAGCAAGUCUCUUCCCAAAGGCUCAUCUUGCUCAUCUAUAAACACAGUCCUAGACCUCUUUCCCUCCUCUACUGAGAGAUCAUCCUGCAACUCCCAAGAGUACAUGUCUCUAUUGCAGCUAUACUGAAACUGAUCAGCACCUCACAGUCCCAGUUCCCGCUUCUCAGGAGGAGUAAUCUCAUGGACCCAUCUUGGCUGUGAGGGGUGGGCAAACUCAGAGAGAGGGUACUAAGUUGCUGAGAAGACAAACAGCUUUCCAAGCAGCCCCCAAACUGUAUUAUUGGGGAAGCUUCUUAUCUGGUGGAAGCUACUUCAGGGAACACACAAAUGAUAAGAAAGAAAAACAGUCUUAUUGCUAAGUUGGAAAAAGUUUGAGUGGUCUGGAUAGAAGAACAAACCAGCCAUAACAGUCCCUUCAGCCAAAGCCUAGUCAGAGCAAGGUCUUAACUCUCUUCUAUUCUCUGAAGCCUGAGAGAGGUGAGGAAGCUGCAGAAGAGAAGUUUGAUGCUAGCAGAGGUUAGUUCAUGAGGUUUAAGAAAAGAAGUCAUCCUAUAACAUAAAAGUACAAGGUGUGCAGAUCACCAAGGGGUAUUUAAAAAAAUAAAAAUAAAAAAUAAAGUACAAGGUGAAGGAGCACGUGCUGAUACAGAAGUUGCAGCAAGUUAUCCAGAAGAUCUAGCUAAGAUCACUGAGGAAGGCGGCUACACUAAACAACAGAUUUUCAGUGGAGACACAACAGCUUUCUAGUGGAAGAAAAUGCUACCUACGGCUUUCACAGCUGGAGAGGAGGAGUCAAUACCUGGUUUCUAAGCUUCAGAGGACAGGCUGAACUCUCUUGUUAAGGGCUAAUGCAACUGGUGACUUUAAGUUGAAGCCAAUGCUCAUUUACCAUUUUGAAAAUCCUCAGGCUCUUAAGAAUCAUGCUAAAUCAACUCUUCCUAUAAAUGAAAUAACAUUUCACUAUUUCUAUAAAUGAAAUAACAUUUCACUAUUUCUAUAAAUGAAAUAACAUUUCAUUAUUUCUAUAAAUGAAAUAACAAGGCUUGAAUGACAGCACAUCUGUUUACUGGUUUACAGUAAAGAGCACAUCUGGUUUACUGAAAAUUUAAACCCACUGUUGAGACCUACUGCAGAGAAAAAAUGAUUCUUCUCAAAAUAUGACUGCUCAAUGACAAUGCACCUGAUCACCUAUGAGCUCUGAUGAAGAUGUACAAGGAGAUUAACAUUGUUUUCAUGCCUGCUAACACCAACAUUCAUUCUGCAGCCCAUGGGCCAAGGAAUAAUUUAGACUUUCAAGUCUUAUAAUUUAAGAAAUACAUUUUCUAAGGCUAUUGCUGCCACAUAUAGUGAUUCCUCUGAUGGAUCUGGGCAAAGUAAAUUGAAAACCUUCUGGAAAGGACUCACCAUUCUAGAUGCCAUUAAGAACAUUUGUGAUUCAUGGGAGAAGGUCAAAAUAUCAGUACUAACAGGAGUAUGAAAGAAGUUGAUACCAACCCUAGUAGAUGACUUUGAGGGGUUCAGGACUUCAGUGGAGGAAGUCAUUGCAGAUGUGGGAAUAGCAAGAGAACUAGAAUUCCAUGGGCAUCCUGAGGAUGUGACCGAAUUGCUGCAAUCUCAUAAAAUGAAUGGAUGAGGAGUUGCUUCUUAUGGAUGAGCAAAGAAAGUGGUUUCUUGAGAUAGAAUCUACUCCCGGUGAAGACACUGUAAACAUUGUUGAAAUGACAACAAAAGAUUUGUAAUAUUCCGUAAACUUAGUUGAUAAAGCAGCAGCUGGGUUUGAGAGAAUGGACUCUAAUUUUGACACAAGUUCUACAGUGGGUAAAAUGCUAUCAAGCAGCAUUGCACGCUACAGAGAAAUCUUUUACGAAAGGAAGAGUCCUUCGAUGCAGCAAACGUUAUUCUUGUCUCAUUUUAGGAAAUUGCCAUAGCCGUUCUGACCUUUAGCAACCACCACCCUGAUCUAUUAGCAGCCAUCAACAUCAAGGCAAGACCCUCUACCAGCAAAAAGGCUCAGAGGAUUUUCAGCAUUUUUUGGCAAUAAAGCAUAUUUUAAUUUAGGUAUGCACAUUGGUUUCUCAUAAUAGAUAUACUGCUAUUGCACACUUAGUAGACUACAGUAUAAAUAUAACUUUUAUAUGUACUGGGAAACCAAAAAAAUACAUAUGACUUGCACAAUAAAGUGAUAUUCGCUGUAUUGAAUUGGUCUGGAACUGAACCACCAACGAACCUGCAAUGUCUCCGAGGUAUGCCUGCACCGCCUAGGAAAACUUAAGUGCCCACUAUUGAGAGGUGCUGCAAUUGCUAAUCAUUGCUAAUCCUGCUCGCCUGUCUUUUGCUUGGAGGACCAGGACUGCCUCUGACACUUCCUUGUAUAGUGUGCUUAGCAAAAAAGAUGUUCCAUAACUACUUGGGGCCACAGUCCCAGCCUGGGCUUCUGCUGUCAUCCCAGGUGGCAGUCUGCAGACAGGUGUGCACUCAGCAGGAGGCUUCUGGGACUUCAGUCCAGAGAUGACUCCAGUGGACAGCCAGCAUGGAGAACCACUGGGCAAGAGAAAGAGGCUCCAGGUUGGAAUGCAGGGAAACACUUUCACGUAAGGAGCAGGUGGAGGAGAAGCCAGGUGAGGAGAUGAGAAAUGAUGAAGCAAAGGAGGCUGGGCACCGUGGCUUACUCCUGUAAUCCUAGCACUUUGGGAGGCCAAGGCAGGCAGAUCUCUUGAGCCCAGGGGUUUGAGACCAGCCUGGGCAACACGGCAAAACCCCAUCUCUACAAAAUAAUACAAAAAUUAGUCAGGCUUGGUGGUAUGCGCCUGUAGUCCCAACUACUCAAGAGGCUGAGAUAGGAGGAUCACUUGAGCCUGGGAGGUCAAGGCUGCAGUGAGCUAUGAUCGUGCCACUGCAUUCCAGCCUGGGUGAUACAGCAAGAACCUGUCUCAAAAAAAAAAAAAAAAAAAAAAAAAAAAAAAAAAAGCAGCAGAAGCAGAGGAGAAUCAGAAGAGAGAAUUUGUUUAUUCAGGAGGACACUAUCUACAGUAUUAAAACCUGCAGAAUGGCCAAGGAGAGCAAAAGCCCAGGGUUACCAUGAUCUGACAUUCAAGGCAGAGGACAGGAUGUUCAGACCUCACAGGCAGUGAGUGGAGACUGAGUCGUGGAAGAGAGUCCAUUGGUGGGGACAGAGAGAGGUCAGAACCCACUCCCAUGUCUCCUCCCCACUCUACGACUUUGCUCUUCCUGGUGGACACCAGCCAGCAAAUGCAGGUGACAGAAGCCUGGGAGAGGCCUGCUCCUGGAACCAGAGAACCAGCAGACCACCUGCACCAGGAGCUGUGUGAACUUGCAAUUGCCUGGAGCAACUUUUAGGAAACAUCAAAAACAACCUGAGAAAGCCUGGUGUGGUAGCCCAGGCCUGUCAUCCUAGGUCCUUGGGAGGCUGAGACAGGAGGAUCCCUUGAGCCCAGGAGUUCAAGUCUAGCCUGGGCAACACAGCAAGACCCUGUCUCUGAAACAAACAAGCAAACAAACAGAAAAUCCAAAACAAAAAGCAAAGAAACCAAGCUGAUAGAGACAGCUGUGGCUGUGAAGGCAGCUGAGGGGACGAGCUCCCAGGCAGAUCAGAUUCAGCCGAACCGCUGCUCCCUCGUCUGUUCCGGGCAGCCCUGGGCAAUGGAAGAGGCCGUGGCUUCUCAGGCUGGUUCUCACAGUCACUAGCCUAGAGACCCCUUUGUAAAGGGGGGAGGACACCCAUUCUGUUUCAUUGGCUUUGUAAGCGAUUAAGUGCCAGAUAGCAUGAGGGACACUGGGAUGCCCAGAGCCUUGAGUACAAGGCCUGCAGAAUCCACAAAGCCCACACACUAAAAUGACCAAGACAGGGUCCUUCCUACUUCGUAAUUGACUUCCUAUCUCGUAGAUGAACUGGAAUGAGUUAAAAUGAAAGGUGUUUCUAGCCCAUCUAAAGUAGAACUUCUUGAAAUAUCUGUGGGCAAGAUUCAAACAAUAUUUUAAAACAAUUUUAAUCCAUUGUGGACUGAUAUUUUUGUAAUGCAAUAUAAAGAAAUUACUGGAAAGAUGCAAUAAAAAACCAGAUUCCAACAGAAUUACUCAUCACAUUUCCAUCAAUGUUCAUAUUCUCUCUUGAUUUCUGUACUCAUCUUGCUGCAGACCGAUAAGAAGCCCCGUCUGUGAGCAGGCUUGGGUGUGAGUAGGGUUGAUCUAUCUUCUCACUGCUCAAUGUCAACAGGUGGCAUGGACAUCACCUGGGAACUUGCUAGAACUCUAGCCUCUUGGGCCUCAUCCCAUUUCUGCUAAACCAGAAUCUGCUUUUUUGACAAGAUGCCCAACUGAUUCGUGUGCAUGUUAAAGUUUGUGGUGACACCCAUGGCAGCUAAGACUCAGGAAUGUUUUGCAGAAUGAAGGAAUUAACCAAAACCUCUACUCCCGAACCUCAAUUUCCCAUGACGUAAGAGCUAGUGACACAGACCUUCUUUCUGAUGAGCAGGACCAGCUAUGUAAUUUGCAGAGCCCACUGCAAAAGGAAAAGGUGGGGGCUCCUUUUAAAAAAAUCUUUGAGGGUUUCUAAGGUGGCGACAACCAAGCUGGGUCCUUCCAAUGUGGGGCCACCUACAGGUCCCACCCUAGGAAGCUGCUGAGGUAAGACUGGGUCAUUCUGGAGCCACUCAUGCUAGCCAAGGAAAGUGAUGAGAAUUCUGCUCUGUUUCCAUCUAUUACCGACCAUUGUCAUUAAAAAGCUGCGACCCUUAUCCUUUUUGAAGUUUAUUUUUUCUUAAUAUGCAAAUAGAAAUGGCUUAAAAUGGCUGUUAUUCCAGUGUAUAGAAUUCUUUCAAAAAUACAAAUAUGUGUGUGUCUAUUAAAACGUGAAUAGAAGCUCUAUUUAGGGAAAGACAACUUGUGCUCAUUUAUUUUAUUGACAGUGUACAGAUUUUGAUAUAUUGCAUUACAAUACUGACUGCUAGAUUUCUUAGAAAGGUUUAGUUUAGAUUGCUGUAGAUUUUUUUCUUCACAAUAAAAAUAAACUCAUGCCAGUGUUCAGUAACCAAUAAUAUCAAUUCAUUCAAAUUUAAUGACAGUUUUAUUAAACUAAGAAUCUCAUGUCACAGAGCAUUCACAGUGCAGGAGGUCACAGUUAUUGAAAAAAUAAAUAGCGGGAUAAAUAUCCUCAUUAUUUACAACUUUUCAACUCGAUGAUCCUGCUUUGCCCAUUAGAGAGAGAAUGAACAAAGAUGGUGGUGUUCAGCUCAGCGUGCCAGAACGAUCUUGGGGUGACUUGAACAAUGUGUGAACAGCCCCAGAAGUUCUUCGUUUUAGUUGUUUUUAAGGAGGUUCUUUCAGGACACAAGAGUCCUCUGAUUCCAUCUACCUGCUAUUUGGUAGGUCCCCCAGGUCCAAGCCUCGUGCGGGAAGCUCAAGGAAGCAGACAGUGUGGUCAUGGGGUCUGCAGCUUAGAGGGCAGGGAUGAAAAGUGAGGGCAGAGAUGCCCAGUGGCCAGAAAAAACUCACAAGAACAACUUAUUUAGAAAAACAGAGCUGCCUUGUUCACACUCCAGUCAUUUUUCAGGAGGGGAAAAGUCCUCUCUUCUUCCAUUGAAAGAGGACUGCGCGUCUGUCCUGAAUGGACUUGGGAAAUUCUGUGUAGAGAAUUCUGGAGUGACAGCAAAGAAGGCUCUGUUGUUUGGGACAUUCCCUUUAGGCACAAAGGUAGAUCACACCAAACCAUGCAUCUAGAAACCAAAAGCUGCACAUUCCCUCUCUUGAUAGCUUAAAACAUUUGUUUUCCAGUGAUGGGGUGAUGAGGGUACUGACUCUCUGCAGGAUUAAGAAUUUUAUUGGCCUGGCCCGUGGACAAGUCCCAACCAACAUGUUGCAUAAGAAGCAACUGCUUGGCGGGGCGCGGUGGCUCACGCUUGUAAUCCAGCACUUUGGGAGGCCGGGGUGGGCGGAUCACGAGAUCAGGAGAUCAAGACCAUCCUGGCUAACACGGUGAAACCCUGUCUG